Molecule: long non-coding RNA, 318 nt
Filed under: Solanum tuberosum (potato)
Lineage: Eukaryota; Viridiplantae; Streptophyta; Magnoliopsida; Solanales; Solanaceae
Description: long non-coding RNA (STUB_LNC009046)
Source: RNAcentral
AUUAAUUGUUUGUGUGUGAUGUGUUGAGACUUGUUGGUGAUGGGCAUUGGUACGGGUACCAGUGUUAUAAAGGGAAAGUUUAUUACUAUAGAAUGUGGAUUGUAAUCCGAGAAUGCCAAAGCAUAUGGGUAUUAGCUGAUAUAUUAUUGACUUGAUUUAUUAUGUGUGAUUGUGUUCUUUAUUGAACCCGUAUACUGGUGAUAGCUGAGGUGAUUACAUAUCAUAUUGAUAUUUGAUUGAGAUGCAUCAUCCCUUUUAUUGAAAUCAUAUUUUGCACAUGCAUUGACAUGAGAUUGAGUAUAAGUUGGGCACGUGGAG